Molecule: ribosomal RNA, 655 nt
Filed under: Nabis punctatus mimoferus
Lineage: Eukaryota; Metazoa; Arthropoda; Insecta; Hemiptera; Nabidae
Description: eukaryotic LSU rRNA
Rfam family: Eukaryotic large subunit ribosomal RNA
Source: RNAcentral
AAUUCCCCGUGGUGCGCGAGUCUUGGGUGGAAAACCUAAAGGCAGAAUGAAAGUAAAGGGAACUAGCUUUCUGAGGGAGGAUGGGUUACCUGCCUUUACAGGCGGUGCUCCGCACUCCCGGGGCGUCUCUUUCUCAUUACGAGUGGAGGCGCACCUAUAGCGCACACGCUGAUACCCGAAAGAUGGUGAACUAUGCCUGGCCAGGACGAAGCCAGGGGAAACCCUGGUGGAGGUCCGCAGCGAUUCUGACGUGCAAAUCGAUCGUCGGAGCUUGGUAUAGGGGCGAAAGACCAAUCGAACCAUCUAGUAGCUGGUUCCCUCUGAAGUUUCCCUCAGGAUAGCUUGCGCUCGGUUGAGACGAGUCUCAUCCGGUAGAGCGAAUGAUUAGAGGCCUUGGGGUCGAAACGACCUCAACCUAUUCUCAAACUCCAAAUAGAUGAGAUCCCCGGCUUGCUUGAAAGUGAAGCCGGGACUCGGAUCAGAGUGCCAAGUGGGCCAAUUUUGGUAAGCAGAACUGGCGCUGUGGGAUGAACCAAACGCAGAGUUAAGGCGCCUGAAUCGACGCUCAUGUGAAACCAUGAAAGGCGUUGGUUGCUUAAGACAGCAGGACGGUGGCCAUGGAAGUCGGAAUCCGCUAUGAGGUGGUGUAAAAAAA